GCCCUGGUAGUGUAGUGGCCUAUCAUGAAACCCUGUCACGGUUUCGACCCGGGUUCGAACUCGCGUCCCGGCCAGGGCG
This 79-nucleotide transfer RNA is filed under the name Candidatus Woesearchaeota archaeon. RNAcentral's name for it is "tRNA-Asp". It matches the Rfam family "tRNA". From Rfam's summary of the family: Transfer RNA (tRNA) molecules are approximately 80 nucleotides in length. Their secondary structure includes four short double-helical elements and three loops (D, anti-codon, and T loops). Further hydrogen bonds mediate the characteristic L-shaped molecular structure. tRNAs have two regions of fundamental functional importance: the anti-codon, which is responsible for specific mRNA codon recognition, and the 3' end, to which the tRNAs corresponding amino acid is attached (by aminoacyl-tRNA synthetases). tRNAs cope with the degeneracy of the genetic code in two manners: having more than one tRNA (with a specific anti-codon) for a particular amino acid; and 'wobble' base-pairing, i.e. permitting non-standard base-pairing at the 3rd anti-codon position. The record is from RNAcentral. Lineage: Archaea; Nanobdellati; Candidatus Woesearchaeota.